UGGGGAAUAUUUGACAAUGGGCGAAAGCCUGAUCCAGCCAUGCCGCGUGUGUGAAGAAGGUCUUCGGAUUGUAAAGCACUUUAAGUUGGGAGGAAGGGCAGUAAGCGAAUACCUUGCUGUUUUGACGUUACCGACAGAAUAAGCACCGGCUAACUCUGUGCCAGCAGCCGCGGUAAUACAGAGGGUGCAAGCGUUAAUCGGAAUUACUGGGCGUAAAGCGCGCGUAGGUGGUUCGUUAAGUUGAAUGUGAAAGCCCCGGGCUCAACCUGGGAACUGCAUCCAAAACUGGCGAGCUAGAGUAGGGCAGAGGGUGGUGGAAUUUCCUGUGUAGCGGUGAAAUGCGUAGAUAUAGGAGGGAACACCAGUGGCGAAGGCGACCACCUGGGCUCAUACUGACACUGAGGUGCGAAAGCGUGGGGAGCAAACAGG
Molecule: ribosomal RNA, 429 nt
Filed under: Pseudomonadota bacterium
Lineage: Bacteria; Pseudomonadati; Pseudomonadota
Description: Proteobacteria bacterium partial 16S ribosomal RNA
Rfam family: Bacterial small subunit ribosomal RNA
Source: RNAcentral